UCUGAGAGUUUGAUCCUGGCUCAGAGCGAACGCUGGCGGCAGGCCUAACACAUGCAAGUCGAACGGAUCCUUCGGGAUUAGUGGCGGACGGGUGAGUAACACGUGGGAACGUGCCCUUUGGUUCGGAACAACUCAGGGAAACUUGAGCUAAUACCGGAUGUGCCCUUCGGGGGAAAGAUUUAUCGCCAUUGGAGCGGCCCGCGUCUGAUUAGCUAGUUGGUGGGGUAAAGGCCCACCAAGGCGACGAUCAGUAGCUGGUCUGAGAGGAUGAUCAGCCACAUUGGGACUGAGACACGGCCCAAACUCCCACGGGAGGCAGCAGUGGGGAAUUUUGGACAAUGGGGGCAACCCUGAUCCAGCAAUGCCGCGUGUGUGAAGAAGGCCUUCGGGUUGUAAAGCACUUUUGUCCGGAAAGAAAUUGCUCUGGCUAAUACCUGGGGUAGAUGACGGUACCGGAAGAAUAAGCACCGGCUAACUACGUGCCAGCAGCCGCGGUAAUACGUAGGGUGCGAGCGUUAAUCGGAAUUACUGGGCGUAAAGCGUGCGCAGGCGGUUUUGUAAGACAGGCGUGAAAUCCCCGGGCUCAACCUGGGAAUUGCGCUUGUGACUGCAAGGCUAGAGUGCGUCAGAGGGGGGUAGAAUUCCACGUGUAGCAGUGAAAUGCGUAGAGAUGUGGAGGAAUACCGAUGGCGAUGCAGCCCCUG
This 704-nucleotide ribosomal RNA is filed under the name uncultured bacterium. RNAcentral's name for it is "bacterial SSU rRNA". It matches the Rfam family "Bacterial small subunit ribosomal RNA", at positions 1 to 731 of the family's 1533-position model. The record is from RNAcentral.